This 254-nucleotide ribosomal RNA is filed under the name uncultured bacterium. RNAcentral describes it as "partial 16S ribosomal RNA". It matches the Rfam family "Bacterial small subunit ribosomal RNA", at positions 524 to 776 of the family's 1533-position model. The record is from RNAcentral.
UACGGGGGGAGCAAGCGUUGUUCGGAUUUACUGGGCGUAAAGGGCGCGUAGGCGGCCAGCACAAGUCAGUUGUGAAAUCUCCGGGCUUAACCCGGAAAGGUCAAUCGAUACUGCGGGGCUAGAGUGCAGAAGGGGCAACUGGAAUUCUCGGUGUAGCGGUGAAAUGCGUAGAUAUCGAGAGGAACACCUGCGGCGAAGGCGGCUUUCUGGUCUGUAACUGACGCUGAGGCGCGAAAGCGUGGGGAGCAAACAGG